CCUACGGGCGGCUGCAGUGGGGAAUAUUGCACAAUGGGGGAAACCCUGAUGCAGCGACGCCGCGUGAGUGAAGAAGUAAUUCGUUACGUAAAGCUCUAUCAGCAGGGAAGAAGAUGAAGGUAACUGAGUAAGAAGCCCCGGCUAACUACGGGCCAGCAGCCGGGGUAAUACGUAGGGGGCAAGCGGUAUCCGGGUUUACUGGGUGGAAAGGGAGCGUAGACGGUGCGCCAAGUCUGGAGUGAAAUGCCGCAGCUUAACUGCGGAACUGCUUUGGAAACUGGCGAACUAGAGUGCGGGAGGGGUAAGCGGAAGUCCUAGUGUAGCGGUGAAAUGCGUAGAUAUUAGGAGGAACACCGGUGGCGAAGGCGGCUUACUGGACUGUAACUGACGUUGAGGCUCGAAAGCGUGGGGAGCGAACAGGAUUAGAUACCCGAGUAGUC
RNAcentral lists this ribosomal RNA (440 nucleotides) under uncultured bacterium. RNAcentral's name for it is "partial 16S ribosomal RNA". It matches the Rfam family "Bacterial small subunit ribosomal RNA", at positions 338 to 795 of the family's 1533-position model. The record is from RNAcentral.